Non-coding RNA from Acanthosepion pharaonis, 112 nucleotides. The record is from the annotation of a GenBank genome assembly. Lineage: Eukaryota; Metazoa; Mollusca; Cephalopoda; Sepiida; Sepiidae.
ACGGCUACAUCAUGCUGAAACACAAGUUCCCGUAAGAUUACUGUAGUUAAGCAACGUCGAAGUUGGUCAGUACUUCGAUGGGUGACUACUUGGGAAUACCAGAUGCUGUAAG